UGGGGAAUAUUGCACAAUGGGCGCAAGCCUGAUGCAGCCAUGCCGCGUGUAUGAAGAAGGCCUUCGGGUUGUAAAGUACUUUCAGCGGGGAGGAAGGCGUUAAGGUUAAUAACCUUGGCGAUUGACGUUACCCGCAGAAGAAGCACCGGCUAACUCCGUGCCAGCAGCCGCGGUAAUACGGAGGGUGCAAGCGUUAAUCGGAAUUACUGGGCGUAAAGCGCACGCAGGCGGUCUGUCAAGUCGGAUGCGAAAUCCCCGGGCUCAACCUGGGAACUGCAUUCGAAACUGGCAGGCUGGAGUCUUGUAGAGGGGGUAGAAUUUCCAGGUGUAGCGGUGAAAUUGCGUAGAGAUCUGGAGGAAUACCGGUGGCGAAGGCGGCCCCCCUGGACAAAGACUGACGCUCAGGUGCGAAAGCGUGGGAGCAAACA
This 428-nucleotide ribosomal RNA is filed under the name uncultured Enterobacteriaceae bacterium. RNAcentral's name for it is "bacterial SSU rRNA". It matches the Rfam family "Bacterial small subunit ribosomal RNA", at positions 355 to 774 of the family's 1533-position model. Lineage: Bacteria; Pseudomonadati; Pseudomonadota; Gammaproteobacteria; Enterobacterales; Enterobacteriaceae. The record is from RNAcentral.